ACCACGCCGCGCGCCAGAUCUACCACGCCGCGCGUGGUUGCAAAUCCAUCACUAUGCCGCGCGUGAUAACAGAAUCACGCGGCGCGUGAUCGAGUCAGAGAACAAUCUUCUUCUUCAGCAAAGCUUCACGCCGCGCGUGGUAAGGCAUCACGCCGCGCGUGGUCAAGUCAGAGAGCAAUCCAGUUCCUGAACAAAACUUCACGCCGCGCGUGGUCAGGUCUCACGCCGCGCGUGAUCAGAGUGGAAAUCUUGGCUCCCUGUGAGCUCCAUCACGCGGCGCGUGAUGGGCUACGCCCCCAGCGUAGUGAAAAUCAUUCAUUUCCUGCAGUUUUUCCUGUUUUCUUGCCAAACAAGUAAUCAAGCUAAUGGUUAGAUUUCUCUCAUACUUAUUGCUAAAAACCUACUAAAAUGUAUCUAAUGUUGCUAAAAUAG
RNAcentral lists this long non-coding RNA (432 nucleotides) under Trifolium pratense (red clover). RNAcentral describes it as "long non-coding RNA (TPRA_LNC011105)". Lineage: Eukaryota; Viridiplantae; Streptophyta; Magnoliopsida; Fabales; Fabaceae. The record is from RNAcentral.